ACUGCAGUCGAGCGGUAGAGAGAAGCUUGCUUCUCUUGAGAGCGGCGGACGGGUGAGUAAAGCCUAGGAAUCUGCCUGGUAGUGGGGGAUAACGUUCGGAAACGGACGCUAAUACCGCAUACGUCCUACGGGAGAAAGCAGGGGACCUUCGGGCCUUGCGCUAUCAGAUGAGCCUAGGUCGGAUUAGCUAGUUGGUGAGGUAAUGGCUCACCAAGGCGACGAUCCGUAACUGGUCUGAGAGGAUGAUCAGUCACACUGGAACUGAGACACGGUCCAGACUCCUACGGGAGGCAGCAGUGGGGAAUAUUGGACAAUGGGCGAAAGCCUGAUCCAGCCAUGCCGCGUGUGUGAAGAAGGUCUUCGGAUUGUAAAGCACUUUAAGUUGGGAGGAAGGGCAUUAACCUAAUACGUUAGUGUUUUGACGUUACCGACAGAAUAAGCACCGGCUAACUCUGUGCCAGCAGCCGCGGUAAUACAGAGGGUGCAAGCGUUAAUCGGAAUUACUGGGCGUAAAGCGCGCGUAGGUGGUUUGUUAAGUUGGAUGUGAAAUCCCCGGGCUCAACCUGGGAACUGCAUUCAAAACUGACUGACUAGAGUAUGGUAGAGGGUGGUGGAAUUUCCUGUGUAGCGGUGAAAUGCGUAGAUAUAGGAAGGAACACCAGUGGCGAAGGCGACCACCUGGACUAAUACUGACACUGAGGUGCGAAAGCGUGGGGAGCAAACAGGAUUAGAUACCCUGGUAGUCCACGCCGUAAACGAUGUCAACUAGCCGUUGGAAGCCUUGAGCUUUUAGUGGCGCAGCUAACGCAUUAAGUUGACCGCCUGGGGAGUACGGCCGCAAGGUUAAAACUCAAAUGAAUUGACGGGGGCCCGCACAAGCGGUGGAGCAUG
Molecule: ribosomal RNA, 891 nt
Filed under: Pseudomonas sp. PDD-69b-34
Lineage: Bacteria; Pseudomonadati; Pseudomonadota; Gammaproteobacteria; Pseudomonadales; Pseudomonadaceae
Description: bacterial SSU rRNA
Rfam family: Bacterial small subunit ribosomal RNA
Source: RNAcentral